ACGCCGCCCAGUGCGGCGCACAUGGCUCCAACGGGCCAGUGGCGGGGGUGGUGCCGUGUCGGCGCAGCACCACCCCCGCGCC
Molecule: non-coding RNA, 82 nt
Filed under: Streptomyces sp. MMG1533
Lineage: Bacteria; Bacillati; Actinomycetota; Actinomycetes; Kitasatosporales; Streptomycetaceae
Description: Streptomyces RNA 6106
Rfam family: Streptomyces RNA 6106
About the family: Identified by deep sequencing of transcriptome at the end of exponential growth phase.
Source: Rfam by way of RNAcentral